GACGAACGCUGGCGGCGUGCUUAACACAUGCAAGUCGAACGGAAAGGCCUGCUUUCCCUUGUGGAUUGCGGGUACUCGAGUGGCGAACGGGUGAGUAACACGUGAGUGAUCUGCCCCCAACUUGGGUAUAAGCCUGGGAAACUGGGUCUAAUUCCCGAUAGGACUGCAGGGUGGUGCCUGUGGUGGAAAACGAUUUUCUAGUGGUUGGGGAUGAGCUCGCGGCCUAUCAGCUUGUGGGUGGGGUAAUGGCCUACCAAGGCGGCGACGGGUAGCCGGCCUGAGAGGGUGGACGGCCACAUUGGGACUGAGAUACGGCCCAGACUCCUACGGGAGGCAGCAGUGGGGAAUAUUGCACGAUGGGCGGAAGCCUGAUGCAGCGACGCCGCGUGGGGGAUGACGGCCUUCGGGUUGUAAACUCCUUUCGACCGCGAGGAAGCCACCUGGUUGGAAGGGUGGUGACGGUAGUGGUAGAAGAAGCACCGGCUAACUACGUG
RNAcentral lists this ribosomal RNA (494 nucleotides) under uncultured bacterium. RNAcentral describes it as "partial 16S ribosomal RNA". It matches the Rfam family "Bacterial small subunit ribosomal RNA", at positions 28 to 507 of the family's 1533-position model. The record is from RNAcentral.